UGUAUGUGUGUAAGUGAAUAGGAAGUAAGAAGGGUGUGUGUAUAGUUAUAAUGACUGGGAGGUGACACUCUAAAAUCCCUUAAUCUUAAUAAAGUGUUGUUAGAGCAUUUACCCUGUCCCCUUAUUCUGGACAUAUGGAAGGGCUUCCGGUUGUGCAUCAGUGAGGGUGGUAUGAUAAUGCUGAAUGUUUUUAAGAACUACGCAUAGAGAAGUAUUGAAUUUAAUGCUUCUCUAUGAGAGGUAUCAGAUUAGCGGAGGACACUCUAUAUCAAUG
Pelobates cultripes (western spadefoot toad) is the source of this 274-nucleotide non-coding RNA. Lineage: Eukaryota; Metazoa; Chordata; Amphibia; Anura; Pelobatidae. The record is from the annotation of a GenBank genome assembly.